UACGAAGGGUGCAAGCGUUACUCGGAAUUACUGGGCGUAAAGCGCACGUAGGCGGUUCGUUAAGUCGGAUGUGAAAGCCCUCGGCUCAACUGAGGAAGUGCACCCGAAACUGGCGAGCUUGAGUACGAAAGAGGAUCGCGGAAUUCCCGGUGUAGAGGUGAAAUUCGUAGAUAUCGGGAGGAACACCGGUGGCGAAGGCGGCGAUCUGGGUCGAUACUGACGCGUGAGGUGCGAAAGCGUGGGGAGCAAACAGG
Molecule: ribosomal RNA, 254 nt
Filed under: uncultured bacterium
Lineage: Bacteria
Description: partial 16S ribosomal RNA
Rfam family: Bacterial small subunit ribosomal RNA
Source: RNAcentral